Hypanus sabinus (Atlantic stingray) is the source of this 2113-nucleotide long non-coding RNA. RefSeq lists it as uncharacterized. NCBI's taxonomy places the organism in Eukaryota, Metazoa, Chordata, Chondrichthyes, Myliobatiformes, Dasyatidae. The record is from RefSeq and is a predicted model, not a curated record. The transcript is spliced from 2 exons.
GGAGAGACCGUGAUCAUGAAGGCGGUUCUCCCAGGACGAGGCUAUCCCAUUGCACUUCGGGUGUGCUGACGCCUGCGAUGUCCCCAAAUGCGGGAUACUCGACUGCAAAAUUUGUGGUAGUGGGGGACUGCGUUCGCGCUCUCCCCUGAUUUUCGAUGUAAAAACAGAAUUAGAAAUUUUCUUGCCCGGUGCUUCGUUAUGUUUUAUUAUAGACUUCCUUAGUUUGUGUCGGAACGGAGUUAACAAAAGUUGAGAGCGUUCGUAUUAGGACACAGCUAUCUCAAAUGUCAUUAGAACAGCCGGAGGAGGCGAUGAAGUCGCGCUCAUGCAGUGGUGGAGUCUGAUGUUGAGCGGCUUCAAACCUUCUCCGCCCUCUUCGACGACAGUGGGGAAUUGCGUGGCUGCAGAGCAGAGCGAUGAAAAGGAAGGUGGAUUAGACCUCCGCUGAGACUCGCUGGGCAGGAAUCAACAACGCUACGUACACAACUUUGGAAGAACCCAGCAGGCCCUACGUGCGUUUUGUGCGGAUGAACGAGAGCGAAAAUGAUCAAACUCAGAGGAGAUCAAGUUCUUAUUGACAGCAUUUUGCUGGCAGUUAAAAUGAAUACCUCCGUGCAUUCAGUCCAACACAUCGAUGAACAAAUGGAAAAGUGUGUCCAAACGCCGGACAGCUGGAGAGGCAAAAAUUAUGUGUUUGCAUUUCUUUAUGUUAUCAAAGUUCAAAGUAAGAUUUAUUGUCAGAGUACAUACAUCUGACCACGUACAACCCUGAAAUUCUCAUCCUGUGGGUAUACUCCGCAAAUCUAUAGAACAGUAACUGUAAACAUCCAGAACUAUAAACAGUAAACAAGCCGUGCAAAUAUAAAUAAAUAACAAACAUGAAAUAACAAUAUAACUGAGUCCUUAAAUGAGGGUAGCUGUCUCCUUUUGUUCAAGAGCCUAAUGGUUGGGGGGUAGUAACUGUUCGGGAACCUGGUGGUGGUGAGUCUGAGAACUGAGGCAUUUGUAUCUCCACCUGAUGGCAGCAGCAAGAGAAGAGCCUGGCCUGCGUGGUUUCUGGGUGUUUUCUCAAUCUUCAACUAAAAGAUGCACAUGUAAAGGAAUUGCAGACUCCUCUGGGAAUGAAGCUCUUGCUUUCAGACCAUUGAAUAAAGUGAGAUACUGUCUAGACGCGUUGCACUGCAGACAAUCAUAAAUACGUACGAGGCAUUGAUUGUAUAUUCUGAGGAUGAUAAGAUAUAUCACAAGAUAUAUUGUCACAGAAAUUUGAUAAACAGUGAAUAAAUAUAGCUUUAGUCGUCUUAAAUGAUGUCUCUAAAGAACAGGCUGCGCUGUUGAAGACUGCAAAGGAGUGUAUUAAUGCCAAUUGAUGAACUUCAUUUUGCACGAGGCAAAAUUAACGAGAUAAGAAGGAAGUAUCUGGGAGACAAUGUGUCUUGGAGUGAGAAAGUUACAUUUUUCUCAGCCAAAUUUGUGACAGGAGCUACAAAUUCUCUGGUGACCUUGAUAAACCACCUCUGUGUUUAUUGAGAAGAGAGGUUUCCUGAGGGUGAGGUACAAUGGGCGGCUUUUGAUUUUUCUGUACAUGCGGGAUGGGACCUCCAUUUUGGCAAAGACCAGGUCAGUGCCUUGUGUGGAAAAUACCCUGAUUUCCUUGCUGUCAUAGUGAAGCAGUACAACGACUUCAAAUUUACUGUACAGGAAAAGAUUAAAUCCUAACCGAUUACUAGCUCGUCUGAAAUGGUGACAUUUGCAACUCAAAAUGAAGAGUUUUGUGACCUUGCAAAGCUGACGGACAAUGGCAGAACCUUUCUUACAACUAGUGCUGCUCAUGAAAGAGGUUUUAGCCUCAUGAAUCAAAUCAAAAACAAGCUGAGGAACCGUUGAAGUGAGUGUCAUUUGGAUAUGCCAAUGGGAAUUCUCUGCUGGAAGAGGAUUUAUUAGUCUGGACAAAGAUGGGUAAAUGCCAAAGACAGCAGGGAGAAAAGUGACUAAGCAACUUGAAUAUGUUCAAUAUCUUGUUCACAUUUAUGUCUCUUUUGUAAUUCAGCUACCAAUUUGGUGCUGUACGCAAUGAUUUCCAAAUAAAACACUGAUCUGCAUACAUUGUCAA